This 464-nucleotide ribosomal RNA is filed under the name Vreelandella stevensii. RNAcentral's name for it is "partial 16S ribosomal RNA". It matches the Rfam family "Bacterial small subunit ribosomal RNA", at positions 338 to 795 of the family's 1533-position model. The record is from RNAcentral. Lineage: Bacteria; Pseudomonadati; Pseudomonadota; Gammaproteobacteria; Oceanospirillales; Halomonadaceae.
CCUACGGGGGGCAGCAGUGGGGAAUAUUGGACAAUGGGGGCAACCCUGAUCCAGCCAUGCCGCGUGUGUGAAGAAGGCCCUCGGGUUGUAAAGCACUUUCAGUGAGGAAGAACGCCUGGUGGUUAAUACCCAUCAGGAAAGACAUCACUCACAGAAGAAGCACCGGCUAACUCCGUGCCAGCAGCCGCGGUAAUACGGAGGGUGCAGCGUUUAAUCGGAAUUACUGGGCGUAAAGCGCGCGUAGGUGGCUUGAUAAGCCGGUUGUGAAAGCCCCGGGCUCAACCUGGGAACGGCAUCCGGAACGGUCAGGCUAGGGGGAAGAAGGGGAAGGUAGAAUUCCGGGUGUAGCGGUGAAAGGCGUAGAGAUCGGAAGGAAAACAAGUGCGAAGGCGGCCUUCUGGACUGACACUGACACUGAGGUGCGAAAGCGUGGGUAGCAAACAGGAUUAGAUACCCGGGUAGUC